UUCAAGGGGUGUUCACUGUUGUGGGCUGAGAUGAUACCCUCUAACCUGAUUCGGAUAAUGCCGACGUAGGGAUGGAU
This 77-nucleotide non-coding RNA is filed under the name uncultured Prevotella sp. RNAcentral's name for it is "TPP riboswitch (THI element)". It matches the Rfam family "TPP riboswitch aptamer (THI element)", at positions 7 to 92 of the family's 105-position model. Rfam says of the family: Vitamin B(1) in its active form thiamin pyrophosphate (TPP) is an essential coenzyme that is synthesised by coupling of pyrimidine and thiazole moieties in bacteria. The previously detected thiamin-regulatory element, thi box was extended, resulting in a new, highly conserved RNA secondary structure, the THI element, which is widely distributed in eubacteria and also occurs in some archaea. Analysis of operon structures identified a large number of new candidate thiamin-regulated genes, mostly transporters, in various prokaryotic organisms. Lineage: Bacteria; Pseudomonadati; Bacteroidota; Bacteroidia; Bacteroidales; Prevotellaceae. The record is from RNAcentral.